RNAcentral lists this ribosomal RNA (498 nucleotides) under Pseudomonas putida. RNAcentral's name for it is "bacterial SSU rRNA". It matches the Rfam family "Bacterial small subunit ribosomal RNA", at positions 84 to 578 of the family's 1533-position model. The record is from RNAcentral. Lineage: Bacteria; Pseudomonadati; Pseudomonadota; Gammaproteobacteria; Pseudomonadales; Pseudomonadaceae.
UCGGCGAUUCAGCGGCGGACGGGUGAGUAAUGCCUAGGAAUCUGCCUGGUAGUGGGGGACAACGUUUCGAAAGGAACGCUAAUACCGCAUACGUCCUACGGGAGAAAGCAGGGGACCUUCGGGCCUUGCGCUAUCAGAUGAAUCUAGGUCGGAUUAGCUAGUUGGUGGGGUAAUGGCUCACCAAGGCGACGAUCCGUAACUGGUCUGAGAGGAUGAUCAGUCACACUGGAACUGAGACACGGUCCAGACUCCUACGGGAGGCAGCAGUGGGGAAUAGCGGACAAUGGGCGAAAGCCUGAUCCAGCCAUGCCGCGUGUGUGAAGAAGGUCUUCGGAUUGUAAUGCACUUUAAGUUGGGAGGAAGGGCAGUAAGUUAAUACCUUGCUGUUUUGACGUUACCGACAGAAUAAGCACCGGCUAACUCUGUGCCAGCAGCCGCGGUAAUACAGAGGGUGCAAGCGUUAAUCGGAAUUACUGGGCGUAAAGCGCGCGUAAAUAU